CCCGGGGUCCGCUUUAGGGCUCGGGGGGCGGAGGGUGGGGGGCCGCAGACCCCCCCCCUCAGGUGGCUUAGACACCCUCCAAGGGGGCUCAGCCCCCCUCCAAGGUGCCCCAGGCAGCCCUAAAGGGGCUCAGUCCCCCCCUCAGGUGGCUCAGACACCCCCCAAGGGGGCUCAGUCCCCCCCCUCAGGUGGCUCAGAUCCCCCCUCAGGUGGCUCAGACACCCCCCAAGGGGGCUCAGUCUCCCCCUCAAGUGGCUCAGACAUCCCUCAGGUUAACUCCCGUCCCCUCUCGUCCCCCUGUUUCUUCCUCCUGGAGAGGAUGACAGGGAAAAACCCACAACAGUGGGCUCCGUGUGUUGAAACAGUACCAGGGGGGGCUGCCCAAGUCCAUUUUGGAGCCCUGUUUCCUAGUGAGGUCCCUGCCGGCCUUCCCUGCCUGGCGUGGCCCUGGGCCCCCAGAGAAGCAGGGCUGCCACACUUCAGGCUGGCUUACACCUGGUGAGACCGCCCGGCAUCACCCAUAACCAUUAUACAACUACACGGGGAUUUAAUUCCAACACAAUCGUAAUCCCCUGGACUGUCUGCCAAGGGGAAAACAUCCCUGGUACACUGAGGUGGGAGUUUAAAAACUAGGCUUUGUACACACACAGUUCUUUAGUAUAAGGGAGUGUGUGUGUAUGAAGGUUGUUUAGCUUGCAUUACACUAUUUCUUACUUAAAAUUACCUUUUAUUUUUCCAGAAGUUAUUUAUAUUACCUACUUAAUAAAGGUCAUGCUCUUUGCAACAACACCACAUCUGUGGAUCAUGUAUACGCUACUGGUUAGGAUAUCCAGAUUGAAAAGGUAAAACUUUUCUGCAUAGGCAAGCCGGUGACACAAUGCAGAAUCCCAAAUUGUUAAGUCACCAGAAAAUACAAUAAAUUUGAAAAUCUUGAGAGAGGGAACAGCCAUAAUUGCUUAUUACUUCGGCUCACGUGGGGAGUGUGGCAGCUCUUAGCAAGGCUGCUCAACAGCU
Molecule: long non-coding RNA, 1014 nt
Organism: Cygnus olor (mute swan)
Lineage: Eukaryota; Metazoa; Chordata; Aves; Anseriformes; Anatidae
Exons: 2
Source: RefSeq, a predicted model, not a curated record